RNAcentral lists this ribosomal RNA (505 nucleotides) under uncultured bacterium. RNAcentral's name for it is "partial 16S ribosomal RNA". It matches the Rfam family "Bacterial small subunit ribosomal RNA", at positions 28 to 507 of the family's 1533-position model. The record is from RNAcentral.
GACGAACGCUGGCGGCGUGCCUAAUACAUGCAAGUAGAACGCACAGUUUAUACCGUAGCUUGCUACACCAUAGACUGUGAGUUGCGAACGGGUGAGUAACGCGUAGGUAACCUGCCUGGUAGCGGGGGAUAACUAUUGGUAACGAUAGCUAAUACCGCAUAAUAUUGAUUAUUGCAUGAUACUUGAUUGAAAGAUGCUAUUGCAUCACUACUAGAUGGAUCUGCGUUGUAUUAGCUAGUAGGUGAGGUAACGGCUCACCUAGGCGACGAUACAUAGCCGACCUGAGAGGGUGGUCGGCCACACUGGGACUGAGACACGGCCCAGACUCCUACGGGAAGGAGCAAGAGGGAAACUUCGGCAAUGGACGGAAGUCUGACCGAACAACGCCGCGGGAGGGAAGAAGGUUGUCGGGUCGUAAAGCUCUGUUGUAAGGGAAGAACGGGUGUGAGAGUGGAAAGUUCACACUGUGACGGUAUCUGACCAGAAAGCAACGGCUAACUACGUG